GCUGACCUGACCUACAAACUGAGGGCAUGGUGUCCCAGUUUUGGAGACAAGAAAAAAGAAGAUACUUCAUUUAAAAAUCACACUCUAUCUGGAGUCAUUCCAGUGAGACUUAAGUGCUCAUGGAAGAAAACUAUGUGGAAAUGUGAACGAUGAUUAAGACAAAGAUAUCUUCAGGGAUGCACUGUGAGUGGUCAAUCAACCGAAUGCUAUCAAACAUCAAACCACCUCUUACUUGCUGCAGCCAAACACCAAACCUAGAAUCUGGGUUCAUGAUGUGUGCAUUGUCUGUGAAAAGCACAUCUUCGGUGUCAACCCUGAGGCAUCUCAGCUGACCUCUUACCCAGCUUCUGCUGGAGUAAAGUGAACAUUCUUUCUGCAGCUGCACAAGUUUGAGGGGUACUGCAUUCCCAU
RNAcentral lists this long non-coding RNA (411 nucleotides) under Heterocephalus glaber (naked mole-rat). Its description in RNAcentral is "lncRNA (ENSHGLG00100041350.1)". The record is from RNAcentral. Lineage: Eukaryota; Metazoa; Chordata; Mammalia; Rodentia; Bathyergidae.